RNAcentral lists this small nuclear RNA (300 nucleotides) under Sorex araneus (European shrew). RNAcentral describes it as "7SK RNA (ENSSARG00000015132.1)". It matches the Rfam family "7SK RNA". Rfam says of the family: 7SK was discovered as an abundant small nuclear RNA in the mid-70s but a possible function has only recently been suggested. Lineage: Eukaryota; Metazoa; Chordata; Mammalia; Eulipotyphla; Soricidae. The record is from RNAcentral.
GGAUGUGAGGGUGAUUUGGCUGUGACAUCUGUCACCCCAUUGAUCUGCAGGGUUGAUUUGGCUGGUGUGGCUGGCUAGGCGAGUGUCCCCCUGCUCCUUCACUGUUCCAUGUGUGUCCCUAGGACAAACUUCCAUAGAGGUGGAGUGUUCUUCAGUCAAGGACGUAUGAGUAGCCAAACUCCACUGCUAGCACCUUCAAUCAGUUGUCCAAGUCCAUUGGUAGGAAAACGUAGGUUAGUCAAGCUUCCAAGGCUCCAGACACAUUUAAAUGAGGCGCUGCAUGUGGUCAUCUGCCUUUCU